Long non-coding RNA from Corvus hawaiiensis (hawaiian crow), 651 nucleotides. RefSeq lists it as uncharacterized. The transcript has 3 exons. NCBI's taxonomy places the organism in Eukaryota, Metazoa, Chordata, Aves, Passeriformes, Corvidae. The record is from RefSeq and is a predicted model, not a curated record.
CAGAUCAGGCUCUGUCAUAGUACAGCUAAUAGGAACACUGCUUUUUCUCUUCUUCCUGCUAGAUUUGUUUAUUUUUGUAUACACCAUCUUGUAGAGAAAUAACAAGUCACGGGCAACCACUAAAGCUACAACCAACAAACUGACAGCAAGCAACUUCUUCUAUAAGUAUGCCUUGACCCACGUGAAACAUAUCGGAACAACGCUGAUCCCAGAGCUGAUGCCUUCAGAAAUGUUGAGAACAGAUAACAUAAAAAAAUAGAGAAAUAGACAUAUUCUAUGUUUCAACAAUGUUAAAAGCCAAGGCAACAUGUAUUUUAUCUACAAGGAUGCAGAGAAGAUCUGUUCAUGCUACAUAUAUCAAAAGUUGGAAAUGUUUCCCAGCAGCAAAAUCUGAUUGGGCCAAAGAUUGAAAGAUUUCAAAAGGUUCCUGCAAAAGACUGCAUGUAAGGUGUGUUUCCUUUUUAUUUAGUAUAAAGAAACCAAACUUUUGGAAUGGAAAGAGUUUCCAAAAUCUUUCUUAUUGAAAACACCAUAUGUAAUGUUUUCUCAUUGUGCAAAGAAAUCACCUUUUUUUUUUCUUUUUCUACUGAGGAGCUUCAGCAAGACAGACUUUUUCCUAUUAGUAAACAACAAUCUUGGAAUUUUCCAAUG